This 66-nucleotide transfer RNA is filed under the name Thermobia domestica (firebrat). RNAcentral's name for it is "tRNA-Leu". The record is from RNAcentral. Lineage: Eukaryota; Metazoa; Arthropoda; Insecta; Zygentoma; Lepismatidae.
UCUAAGGUGGCAGAUAAGUGCAUUGGGCCUAAGCCCCAAAUAUAAGAAUAAUUGUCUUCCUUAGAA